Molecule: unclassified non-coding RNA, 382 nt
Filed under: uncultured bacterium
Lineage: Bacteria
Description: contains 16S-23S intergenic spacer region
Source: RNAcentral
UCCUAGUUUCCUAGGCAGUCCCAUCAGAGUGCUCCCGAAGGAUAGCAACUGACGGCAAGAGUUGCGCUCGUUAGAGGACUUAACCGAACAUCUCACGACACGAGCUGACGACAGCCAUGCAGCACCUGUGUAUCUGUCUGAAUCAAAGACCCAAAAAACCAUGUUUCCAUGGCGGUCAAAUACAUGUCAAGCCUAGGUAAGGUUCCUCGCGUAGUGUCGAAUUAAACCACAUGUUCCACCGCUUGUGCGGACCCCCGUCAAUUCCUUUGAGUUUUAGUCUUGCGACCGUAAUCCCCAGGUGGAUCACUUAACGCGUUAGCUACGACACCAGCUUCGCGAUUGAAGCUGACGUCUAGUGAUCAUCGUUUAGGGCGUGGACUAC